CACGUAGGGGCCAAGCGUUGUCCGGAUUUAUUGGGCGUAAAGAGCUCGUAGGCGGUUCGUCACGUCGGCUGUGAAAUCCCGAGGCUCAACCUCGGGUCUGCAGUCGAUACGGGCGGACUGGAGUACUGCAGGGGAGACUGGAAUUCCUGGUGUAGCGGUGAAAUGCGCAGAUAUCAGGAGGAACACCGGUGGCGAAGGCGGGUCUCUGGGCAGUAACUGACGCUGAGGAGCGAAAGCGUGGGGAGCGAACAGG
This 253-nucleotide ribosomal RNA is filed under the name uncultured bacterium. RNAcentral's name for it is "partial 16S ribosomal RNA". It matches the Rfam family "Bacterial small subunit ribosomal RNA", at positions 524 to 776 of the family's 1533-position model. The record is from RNAcentral.